UGCGAACAGUUUUCAAAUUUGCAAGAAAAAGUUCUUGCAAAAUAUGGCGAUUUGUUUCUUCACAUUCAAAGUGAUUUUUUACGAACUUUAGCUAUCAUUAGGGCUAAGAAUCCGUCUCGUGGGGUCAAGCGCUCGAAAAAUGAUUCUUGGACCAAGAAAAAUCCUCUCGAUGGAAUUGUUGAAAUUCUCAAGAUGGACGAUCCUGUUGGGUACAACAAUAUGCCAAUCCUAUUCGUACACGAAGCACCUGAAGGGAUUAAUGGUGGAACAUUCGUCUGGAAGGAGUGCACUAUCAAGAUAGCAGCCAAUAUUCUUGAUUGUUUCCGAAUCCUUUGCGAAGCAAUUAAUGUAUUCAACUGCGACAUUAGUCCCGAGAACAAGCAGUUCUAUGCG
Long non-coding RNA from Armigeres subalbatus, 393 nucleotides. RefSeq lists it as uncharacterized. NCBI's taxonomy places the organism in Eukaryota, Metazoa, Arthropoda, Insecta, Diptera, Culicidae. The transcript is spliced from 3 exons. The record is from RefSeq and is a predicted model, not a curated record.